ACUGGUAUCCAGUCAUCCAUUGGCACAGAGACACAGUUUCCACUUUGAUACAAUCUGUGUCAGCCUGGCAGUUAAUUUAUUUAGCAGCAUCUUAAAUUUUUUUUUUUUGCAUAAAAUCCAGCUCCUGCAGGAUAUUUAUCAGCAUCUUUGCAAGAGAGGAUGAAUUCAAAAUAAAGUACAAGAGAAGAAACAUUCAGUGAUCCUCAUGGAACACCUUUCCUGAAGAGAUGAUGAUGGGGCCAUUUGACAUGGGACACAGCAGGUGCUGGAAGAAGCACAUAUUUUUAGUGACAAAGACUGUGACUAUCCUGCCUCCUGGUUAUAAAGCAAAGCCAAACUGGAGAGAAGACCAGUGCCAGAGCCUUUAUUACUAAAAGGCACAUGCAAAGUGCUGUAAGAUUUCACAGGAUGGAGAGAACAUCUGUGGCAGUGGACAGAGUCGUGAGUGACCACAGAAGGCUUUCUGGAGGCAGGACUUGAGGCCUGAGUGAGAAUGCAGGUGCGCUGAAGGAGCAGGCAAUAGUGAAGAGUCAGGGUUCGGGAGGGGAACCAGAGACCCCAGACUUCAGAACUGCAGCUUUUGGGGUCAACACAACAUCCCAGAACAUCAAGACGCCAAGACAGAUCAGCUAGGACCCUGCAGUAGGAUAUCGGUGUCCAGAUGAGACCAGAAGCAACCCAGUAGAAGCCAGGGGACAGUGUGUGACCACAGAAUUCAUGCCUGAUGCCAUCAAGGGCCUUUGCCUCAGACAUGCAUACGGCAGGAGUGUGAGAUCUAUGGAGUAGGCUCACGUCAUGGAGCAAGGAGGAUGGCAGGGGCUCCAAUGAUGAUGUCUGCGUAAGAAUUCCCAUUUAAGAUCUUUCCAA
Molecule: small RNA, 867 nt
Filed under: Pan troglodytes (chimpanzee)
Lineage: Eukaryota; Metazoa; Chordata; Mammalia; Primates; Hominidae
Description: processed transcript
Source: RNAcentral